GACGAACGCUGGCGGCGCGCCUAACACAUGCAAGUCGAACGAGCGAGAGAGAGCUUGCUUUCUCAAGCGAGUGGCGAACGGGUGAGUAACGCGUGAGGAGCCUGCCUCAAAGAGGGGGACAACAGUUGGAAACGACUGCUAAUACCGCAUAAGCCCACGGCUCGGCAUCGAGCAGAGGGAAAAGGAGCAAUCCGCUUUGAGAUGGCCUCGCGUCCGAUUAGCUAGUUGGUGAGGUAACGGCCCACCAAGGCGACGAUCGGUAGCCGGACUGAGAGGUUGAACGGCCACAUUGGACUGAGACACGGCCCAGACUCCUACGGGAGGCAGCAGUGGGGAAUAUUGCACAAUGGGGGAAACCCUGAUGCAGCGACGCCGCGUGGAGGAAGAAGGUCUUCGGAUUGUAAACUCCUGUUGUUGAGGAAGAUAAUGACGGUACUCAACAAGGAAGUGACGGCUAACUACGUGCCAGCAGCCGCGGUAAAACGUAGGUCACAAGCGUUGUCCGGAAUUACUGGGUGUAAAGGGAGCGCAGGCGGGAAGACAAGUUGGAAGUGAAAUCCAUGGGCUCAACCCAUGAACUGCUUUCAAAACUGUUUUUCUUGAGUAGUGCAGAGGUAGGCGGAAUUCCCGGUGUAGCGGUGGAAUGCGUAGAUAUCGGGAGGAACACCAGUGGCGAAGGCGGC
RNAcentral lists this ribosomal RNA (683 nucleotides) under uncultured Lachnospiraceae bacterium. RNAcentral describes it as "bacterial SSU rRNA". It matches the Rfam family "Bacterial small subunit ribosomal RNA", at positions 28 to 725 of the family's 1533-position model. The record is from RNAcentral. Lineage: Bacteria; Bacillati; Bacillota; Clostridia; Lachnospirales; Lachnospiraceae.